RNAcentral lists this transfer RNA (73 nucleotides) under Ignavibacteria bacterium. RNAcentral describes it as "tRNA-Ala". It matches the Rfam family "tRNA". Rfam says of the family: Transfer RNA (tRNA) molecules are approximately 80 nucleotides in length. The record is from RNAcentral. RNAcentral also lists the same sequence under 2 other names. Lineage: Bacteria; Pseudomonadati; Ignavibacteriota; Ignavibacteria.
GGGCCCAUAGCUCAGCUGGGAGAGCGCCUGCUUCGCAUGUAGGAGGUCAGCGGUUCGAUCCCGCUUGGGUCCA